This 344-nucleotide unclassified non-coding RNA is filed under the name soil metagenome. RNAcentral describes it as "partial contains 5.8S ribosomal RNA, internal transcribed spacer 2, and large subunit ribosomal RNA". The stretch from base 1 to 119 matches the Rfam family "5.8S ribosomal RNA", at positions 35 to 154 of the family's 154-position model. The record is from RNAcentral.
GAUGAAGAACGUAGCGAAAUGCGAUACGUAAUGUGAAUUGCAAAUUCAGUGAAUCAUCGAGUCUUUGAACGCACAUUGCGCCCCCUGGUAUUCCGGGGGGCAUGCCUGUCCGAGCGUCAUUGCUGCCCUCAAGCACGGCUUGUGUGUUGGGCCCCGUCCUCCGAUCCCGGGGGACGGGCCCGAAAGGCAGCGGCGGCACCGCGUCCGGUCCUCGAGCGUAUGGGGCUUUGUCACCCGCUCUGUAGGCCCGGCCGGCGCUUGCCGAUCAACCCAAAUUUUUAUCCAGGUUGACCUCGGAUCAGGUAGGGACACCCGCUGAACUUAAGCAUAUCAAUAAGCGAGGA